Molecule: ribosomal RNA, 301 nt
Filed under: uncultured bacterium
Lineage: Bacteria
Description: partial 16S ribosomal RNA
Rfam family: Bacterial small subunit ribosomal RNA
Source: RNAcentral
CAGCAGCCGCGGUAAUACGUAGGUGGCAAGCGUUGUCCGGAAUUAUUGGGCGUAAAGCGCGCGCAGGCGGUUUCUUAAGUCUGAUGUGAAAGCCCCCGGCUUAACUAGGGAGGGUCAUUGGAAACUGGGAGACUUAGAGUGCAGGAGAGGAGAGUGGAAUUCCAUGUGUAGCGGUGAAAUGCGUAGAUAUAUGGAGGAACACCAGUGGCGAAGGCGACUCUCUGGUCUGUAACUGACGCUGAGGCGCGAAAGCGUGGGGAGCAAACAGGAUUAGAUACCCCAGUAGUCCCUGUCUCUUAUU